GAGAGGACACACCUCAAACAAUCUCAGGGCUUUGGCCAGUGCCCCUACUUCCUCCUUCAGGGAGAAAAUGCAGGAGAGCACCCCUGCCUUGGUGGCCUGCUCCUCCAGGUACAUGGAGCCCUGCAGGAAGAAACAGAGAGGAGAGUCUUCAAGACUGUACCAACACAUUCACGGGGGGAGCUCACCCUGGAAAAACGCACAGAAAAAGUGCAAAUAGGUACGAAGCCCUGGGUGCUUGAGAGUGAUUGGCUCAGAGGUAGUGCACUCUCCCUCGCCUGGUUAUGGUGCGAUUACAUGCAGACCUGUCCAGGAGUCUCUCUCCUAAGAGGAACCUGAUGCACUGUGGUGACCUUCUGCCCCCGCCUUCUGCCAGAAACUACAAACAGUGCGCUGCAAGAGAAGACCAUGGUGUGUGAGUCGGUGCCCAAGAAUUGCCCCCGGCUCGGUCUCCUGGUUAUCCGAAAGGACCGUCUCCGCCUGGCGCAGCAACGCCGCCCGGCCAGCACGGUCAGAUCAGCACCUCGGAAAGCGCUCAUCGCUCUCAGGUUUCACUCUGGCAAAAGAGAGGCCCUCCAGGAAGCCUCUCUUCUCUCCGGCCCCUCCAGGAAGCCUCUCUUCUCUCCGG
This is a long non-coding RNA of Conger conger (European conger), 625 nucleotides long. RefSeq lists it as uncharacterized. The transcript is spliced from 3 exons. NCBI's taxonomy places the organism in Eukaryota, Metazoa, Chordata, Actinopteri, Anguilliformes, Congridae. The record is from RefSeq and is a predicted model, not a curated record.